RNAcentral lists this ribosomal RNA (468 nucleotides) under uncultured bacterium. RNAcentral describes it as "partial 16S ribosomal RNA". It matches the Rfam family "Bacterial small subunit ribosomal RNA", at positions 28 to 507 of the family's 1533-position model. The record is from RNAcentral.
GACGAACGCUGGCGGCGUGCUUAACACAUGCAAGUCGAACGGAAAGGCCCUGCUUUUGUGGGGUGCUCGAGUGGCGAACGGGUGAGUAACACGUGAGUAACCUGCCCUUGACUUUGGGAUAACUUCAGGAAACUGGGGCUAAUACCGGAUAGGAGCUCCUGCUGCAUGGUGGGGGUUGGAAAGUUUCGGCGGUUGGGGAUGGACUCGCGGCUUAUCAGCUUGUUGGUGGGGUAGUGGCUUACCAAGGCUUUGACGGGUAGCCGGCCUGAGAGGGUGACCAGCCACAUUGGGACUGAGAUACGGCCCAGACUCCUACGGGAGGCAGCAGUGGGGAAUAUUGCACAAUGGGCGGAAGCCUGAUGCAGCAACGCCGCGUGCGGGAUGACGGCCUUCGGGUUGUAAACCGCUUUCGCCUGUGACGAAGCGUGAGUGACGGUAAUGGGUAAAGAAGCACCAGCUAACUACGUG